UACGGAGGGUGCAAGCGUUGUCCGGAAUCACUGGGCGUAAAGGGCGCGUAGGCGGCUCAUGAAGGCUGUGGUGAAAGUCCGGGGCUCAACCUCGGAUCGGCCGUGGCGACUCGUGGGCUGGAGCACUGUAGAGGCGGGUGGAAUUCCGGGUGUAGCGGUGGAAUGCGUAGAGAUCCGGAAGAACACCAGUGGCGAAGGCGGCCGGCUGGGGGCGCCCUGACGCUGAGGCGCGAGAGCGUGGGGAGCGAACCGG
This 253-nucleotide ribosomal RNA is filed under the name uncultured bacterium. RNAcentral describes it as "partial 16S ribosomal RNA". It matches the Rfam family "Bacterial small subunit ribosomal RNA", at positions 524 to 776 of the family's 1533-position model. The record is from RNAcentral.